CCUACGGGCGGCAGCAGUGAGGAAUAUUGGUCAAUGGACGAGAGUCUGAACCAGCCAAGUAGCGUGAAGGAUGACUGCCCUAUGGGUUGUAAACUUCUUUUAUAUGGGAAUAAAACAGGGUAUGCAUACCCUCUUGUAUGUACCAUAUGAAUAAGGAUCGGCUAACUCCGUGCCAGCAGCCGCGGUAAUACGGAGGAUCCGAGCGUUAUCCGGAUUUAUGGGGUUUAAAGGGAGCGUAGGUGGAUUGUUAAGUCAGGUGGGAAAGUUUGCGGCUCAACCGUAAAAUUGCAGUUGAAACUGGCAGUCUUGAGUACAGUAGAGGUGGGCGGAAUUCGUGGUGUAGCGGUGAAAUGCUUAGAUAUCACGAAGAACUCCGAUUGCGAAGGCAGCUCACUGGACUGCAACUGACACUGAUGCUCGAAAGUGUGGGUAUCAAACAGGAUUAGAUACCCGAGUAGUC
Molecule: ribosomal RNA, 460 nt
Filed under: uncultured bacterium
Lineage: Bacteria
Description: partial 16S ribosomal RNA
Rfam family: Bacterial small subunit ribosomal RNA
Source: RNAcentral